UACAGAGAGUGCAAACGUUGUUCGGAAUUACUGGGCUUAAAGCGCACGUAGGCUGCAUCGUAAGUGUCAGGUGAAAUCCCACGGCUUACCCGUGGAACUGCUUGGCAGACUGCGAAGCUAGAGUGUGGUAGGGGAGAGCGGAACUCCUGGUGGAGCGGUGAAAUGCGUAGAUAUCAGGAGGAACACCGGUGGCGAAGGCGGCUCUCUGGUCCACAACUGACGCUGAGGUGCGAAAGCUAGGGGAGCAAACGGGAUUAGAUACCCCGGUAGUCCUAGCUGUAAACGAUGGGCACUAGCUUGGGGUCUCCCUGUGUGAUCCCAGGUGUAGCAAAAGUGAUAAGUGCCCCGCCUGGGGAGUAUGGUCGCAAGGCUG
RNAcentral lists this ribosomal RNA (373 nucleotides) under uncultured prokaryote. RNAcentral describes it as "bacterial SSU rRNA". It matches the Rfam family "Bacterial small subunit ribosomal RNA", at positions 524 to 896 of the family's 1533-position model. The record is from RNAcentral.